GUUUGAUAAUUAAAGCUACGGCGCUUGAGGAUAGAUGUGCGUCUGAUUAGCUAGUUGGUAAGGUAACGGCUUACCAAGGCGACGAUCAGUAGGGGGCGUGAGAGCGUGGCCCCCCACACGGGUACUGAGACACGGACCCGACUCCUACGGGAGGCAGCAGUAAGGAAUAUUGGUCAAUGCCCGGAAGGGUGAACCAGCCAUGCCGCGUGAAGGAUGACUGCCCUCUGGGUUGUAAACUUCUUUUGGAUGGGACGAAAAACGGGAUUUAUCCUGGACUGACGGUACCAUCAGAAUAAGCACCGGCUAACUCCGUG
RNAcentral lists this ribosomal RNA (314 nucleotides) under uncultured bacterium. RNAcentral describes it as "bacterial SSU rRNA". It matches the Rfam family "Bacterial small subunit ribosomal RNA", at positions 192 to 507 of the family's 1533-position model. The record is from RNAcentral.